CUGAUGUUAGCGGCGGACGGGUGAGUAACACGUGGGUAACCUACCUAUAAGACUGGGAUAACUCCGGGAAACCGGGGCUAAUACCGGAUAAUAUUUUGAACCGCAUGGUUCAAUAGUGAAAGACGGUUUCGGCUGUCACUUAUAGAUGGACCCGCGCCGUAUUAGCUAGUUGGUAAGGUAACGGCUUACCAAGGCGACGAUACGUAGCCGACCUGAGAGGGUGAUCGGCCACACUGGAACUGAGACACGGUCCAGACUCCUACGGGAGGCAGCAGGU
RNAcentral lists this ribosomal RNA (277 nucleotides) under uncultured Staphylococcus sp. RNAcentral describes it as "partial 16S ribosomal RNA". It matches the Rfam family "Bacterial small subunit ribosomal RNA", at positions 86 to 354 of the family's 1533-position model. The record is from RNAcentral. Lineage: Bacteria; Bacillati; Bacillota; Bacilli; Caryophanales; Staphylococcaceae.